Molecule: ribosomal RNA, 497 nt
Filed under: uncultured bacterium
Lineage: Bacteria
Description: partial 16S ribosomal RNA
Rfam family: Bacterial small subunit ribosomal RNA
Source: RNAcentral
GAUGAACGCUGGCGGCGUGCCUAAUACAUGCAAGUCGAGCGAACAGACGAGGAGCUUGCUCCCCUGACGUUAGCGGCGGACGGGUGAGUAACACGUGGAUAACCUACCUAUAAGACUGGGAUAACUUCGGGAAACCGGAGCUAAUACCGGAUAAUAUAUUGAACCGCAUGGUUCAAUAGUGAAAGACGGUUUUGCUGUCACUUAUAGAUGGAUCCGCGCCGCAUUAGCUAGUUGGUAAGGUAACGGCUUACCAAGGCGACGAUGCGUAUCCGACCUGAGAGGGUGAUCGGCCACACUGGAACUGAGACACGGUCCAGACUCCUACGGGAGGCAGCAGUAGGGAAUCUUCCGCAAUGGGCGAAAGCCUGACGGAGCAACGCCGCGUGAGUGAUGAAGGUCUUCGGAUCGUAAAACUCUGUUAUUAGGGAAGAACAAAUGUGUAAGUAACUAUGCACGUCUUGACGGUACCUAAUCAGAAAGCCACGGCUAACUACGUG